This 253-nucleotide ribosomal RNA is filed under the name uncultured bacterium. Its description in RNAcentral is "partial 16S ribosomal RNA". It matches the Rfam family "Bacterial small subunit ribosomal RNA", at positions 524 to 776 of the family's 1533-position model. The record is from RNAcentral.
CACGUAGGGCGCAAGCGUUGUCCGGAAUUAUUGGGCGUAAAGAGCUCGUAGGCGGUCUGUUACGUCUGCUGUGAAAACCCAGGGCUUAACCCUGGGCUUGCAGUGGAUACGGGCAGACUAGAGGCAGGUAGGGGAGAAUGGAAUUCCUGGUGUAGCGGUGAAAUGCGCAGAUAUCAGGAAGAACACCCGUGGCGAAGGCGGCUCUCUGGGACGGUACUGACGCUGAGACGCGAAAGCGUGGGGAGCGAACAGG